GACGAACGCUGGCGGCGUGCCUAAUACAUGCAAGUUGAGCGAUGAAGAUUGGUGCUUGCCCCAAUUUGAAGAGCAGCGAACGGGUGAGUAACGCGUGGGGAAUCUGCCUUUGAGCGGGGGACAACAUUUGGAAACGAAUGCUAAUACCGCAUAACAACUUUAAACAUAAGUUUUAAGUUUGAAAGAUGCAAUUGCAUUACUCAAAGAUGAUCCCGCGUUGUAUUAGCUAGUUGGUGAGGUAAAGGCUCACCAAGGCGAUGAUACAUAGCCGACCUGAGAGGGUGAUCGGCCACAUUGGGACUGAGACACGGCCCAAACUCCUACGGGAGGCAGCAGUAGGGAAUCUUCGGCAAUGGACGAAAGUCUGACCGAGCAACGCCGCGUGAGUGAAGAAGGUUUUCGGAUCGUAAAACUCUGUUGGUAGAGAAGAACGUUGGUGAGAGUGGAAAGCUCAUCAAGUGACGGUAACUACCCAGAAAGGGACGGCUAACUACGUG
RNAcentral lists this ribosomal RNA (497 nucleotides) under uncultured bacterium. RNAcentral describes it as "partial 16S ribosomal RNA". It matches the Rfam family "Bacterial small subunit ribosomal RNA", at positions 28 to 507 of the family's 1533-position model. The record is from RNAcentral.